RNAcentral lists this microRNA precursor (148 nucleotides) under Mustela putorius furo (domestic ferret). RNAcentral describes it as "predicted gene, 55703 (ENSMPUG00000022354.1)". Lineage: Eukaryota; Metazoa; Chordata; Mammalia; Carnivora; Mustelidae. The record is from RNAcentral.
AAUCACAGGAUGGCCAGUUAAAUUUGAAUUUCAGAUAAACAGUGGUUUUUAGUGUAAGCAUGUCCCAUGAAAUAAUUAGGACAUACUUAUCCUAAAAGAUGAUUUGUUGUUGAUUUGAAAUUCAAAAUAUGUGAGCAAAGUGUAUUUU